AACUUAAUUAGUCGUGAUUUAAACCAAAUUGCCGCGACGUUAAACUAGAGUGCUAAAAAGGUAUAGGCCCGAUUAGC
This 77-nucleotide non-coding RNA is filed under the name Fidelibacterota (SAR406 cluster). Lineage: Bacteria; Pseudomonadati. The record is from RNAcentral.